This 478-nucleotide ribosomal RNA is filed under the name uncultured bacterium. RNAcentral describes it as "partial 16S ribosomal RNA". It matches the Rfam family "Bacterial small subunit ribosomal RNA", at positions 28 to 523 of the family's 1533-position model. The record is from RNAcentral.
GACGAACGCUGGCGGCGUGCUUAACACAUGCAAGUCGAACGGUAAGGCCCUUCGGGGUACACGAGUGGCGAACGGGUGAGUAACACGUGGGUGAUCUGCCCUGCACUUCGGGAUAAGCCUGGGAAACUGGGUCUAAUACCGGAUAGGACCACUGCCUGCAUGGGUGGGGGUGGAAAGCUUUUGCGGUGUGGGAUGGGCCCGCGGCCUAUCAGCCUGUUGGUGGGGUGAUGGCCUACCAAGGCGACGACGGGUAGCCGGCCUGAGAGGGUGACCGGCCACACUGGGACUGAGAUACGGCCCAGACUCCUACGGGAGGCAGCAGUGGGGAAUAUUGCACAAUGGGCGCAAGCCUGAUGCAGCGACGCCGCGUGAGGGAUGACGGCCUUCGGGUUGUAAACCUCUUUCAGCACCGACGAAGCGCAAGUGACGGUAGGUGCAGAAGAAGGACCGGCCAACUACGUGCCAGCAGCCGCAGUAA